This 253-nucleotide ribosomal RNA is filed under the name uncultured bacterium. RNAcentral's name for it is "partial 16S ribosomal RNA". It matches the Rfam family "Bacterial small subunit ribosomal RNA", at positions 524 to 776 of the family's 1533-position model. The record is from RNAcentral.
CACGUAGGGCGCGAGCGUUGUCCGGAAUUAUUGGGCGUAAAGAGCUCGUAGGCGGCCUGUUGCGUCCGCUGUGAAAGCCCGGGGCUUAACCCCGGGUCUGCAGUGGAUACGGGCAGGCUAGAGGUAGGUAGGGGAGAAUGGAAUUCCCGGUGUAGCGGUGAAAUGCGCAGAUAUCGGGAGGAACACCGGUGGCGAAGGCGGUUCUCUGGGCCUUACCUGACGCUGAGGAGCGAAAGCGUGGGGAGCGAACUGG